RNAcentral lists this microRNA precursor (78 nucleotides) under Schistosoma haematobium. Its description in RNAcentral is "mir-3492 microRNA precursor family". It matches the Rfam family "mir-3492 microRNA precursor family". The record is from Rfam by way of RNAcentral. Lineage: Eukaryota; Metazoa; Platyhelminthes; Trematoda; Strigeidida; Schistosomatidae.
AGCUUUUCGAAUCCGUGCUGAGAUUUCAUCAGAUACCAACCAAUUAGGGCUGAUUAGACUUCCAAGAUAAGUGAAGUU